GCACUGCUGAGGAGUCCCAUAAUAGGACGAAAUGGCCGUCCAGUGC
Schistosoma rodhaini is the source of this 46-nucleotide non-coding RNA. The record is from Rfam. NCBI's taxonomy places the organism in Eukaryota, Metazoa, Platyhelminthes, Trematoda, Strigeidida, Schistosomatidae.